CAAGGAAUUUUCGUCAAUGGGCGAAAGCCUGACGACGCAACGCCGCGUGGAGGACGAAGAUUUUCGGAUCGUAAACUCCUUUCGAUCGGGACGAACGACUGGUGACCUAACACGUCAUCAGAGUGACGGUACCGAGAGAAGAAGCCCCGGCUAACUCCGUGCCAGCAGCCGCGGUAAUACGGGGGGGGCAAGCGUUGUUCGGAAUUACUGGGCGUAAAGGGCGCGUAGGCGGCCCGCUAAGUCGAACGUGAAAUCCCUGGACUCAACCCAGGAACUGCGUCCGAUACUGGCAGGCUUGAAUCCGGGAGAGGGAUGUGGAAUUCCAGGUGUAGCGGUGAAAUGCGUAGAUAUCUGGAGGAACACCGGUGGCGAAGGCGGCAUCCUGGACCGGUAUUGACGCUGAUGCGCGAAAGCCAGGGGAGCAAA
This 426-nucleotide ribosomal RNA is filed under the name uncultured bacterium. Its description in RNAcentral is "bacterial SSU rRNA". It matches the Rfam family "Bacterial small subunit ribosomal RNA", at positions 355 to 772 of the family's 1533-position model. The record is from RNAcentral.